GACGAACGCUGGCGGCGUGCCUAAUACAUGCAAGUGGGACGCAAGGGAACACACUGUGCUUGCACACCGUGUUUUCUUGAGUCGCGAACGGGUGAGUAACGCGUAGGUAACCUGCCUAUUAGCGGGGGAUAACUAUUGGGAACGAUAGCUAAUACCGCAUAAUAUUAAUUAUUGCAUGAUAAUUGAUUGAAAGAUGCAAGCGCAUCACUAGUAGAUGGACCUGCGUUGUAUUAGCUAGUUGGUAAGGUAAGAGCUUACCAAGGCGACGAUACAUAGCCGACCUGAGAGGGUGAUCGGCCACACUGGGACUGAGACACGGCCCAGACUCCUACGGGAGGCAGCAGUAGGGAAUCUUCGGCAAUGGACGAAAGUCUGACCGAGCAACGCCGCGUGAGUGAAGAAGGUUUUCGGAUCGUAAAGCUCUGUUGUAAGUCAAGAACGUGUGUGAGAGUGGAAAGUUCACACAGUGACGGAGCUACCAGAAAG
This 486-nucleotide ribosomal RNA is filed under the name Streptococcus mutans. Its description in RNAcentral is "bacterial SSU rRNA". It matches the Rfam family "Bacterial small subunit ribosomal RNA", at positions 28 to 490 of the family's 1533-position model. The record is from RNAcentral. Lineage: Bacteria; Bacillati; Bacillota; Bacilli; Lactobacillales; Streptococcaceae.